This is a long non-coding RNA of Choloepus didactylus (southern two-toed sloth), 328 nucleotides long. RefSeq lists it as uncharacterized. NCBI's taxonomy places the organism in Eukaryota, Metazoa, Chordata, Mammalia, Pilosa, Megalonychidae. The record is from RefSeq and is a predicted model, not a curated record. The transcript is spliced from 3 exons.
CAGUGAGGAAAAUCCUGAAUUCUAUUUUGAGGAUGCCAUGAGGGGAACUCGGGUCCAUGCAGUCAUUCAGAGAACCAAGCGCCUUCCAGUUAGUGCUCCCACACCUCCUAGAACCUUGGAGUCCUCCGUCAGAUUCCCUGCAUUUGGCCAGCUGAUGAGGGAAGAGGCAUAAUGGGGCAGGAGAAUGAGGAUCGCGUCAGAAGUUUUAUAGGAGUCAGGCCUGGAAGUGCUGUGUAUCAGUCACUUCUACCUACGCUCCGUAGGCUGGAUCCCAGCAUCAUCUUGAAAAGUCUGUCCUUUCCCCACUGACUUUUGGGUGACACCUGCC